CGCGGCCUAUCAGCUUGUUGGUGGGGUAAUGGCCUACCAAGGCGAGGACGGGUAGCCGGCCUGAGAGGGCGACCGGCCACACUGGGACUGAGACACGGCCCAGACUCCUACGGGAGGCAGCAGUGGGGAAUAUUGCACAAUGGGCGGAAGCCUGAUGCAGCGACGCCGCGUGAGGGAUGACGGCCUUCGGGUUGUAAACCUCUUUCAGCAGGGACGAAGCACAAGUGACGGUACCUGCAGAAGAAGCGCCGGCCAACUACGUGCCAGCAGCCGCGGUAAGACGUAGGGCGCGAGCGUUGUCCGGAUUUAUUGGGCGUAAAGAGCUCGUAGGCGGCUUGUCGCGUCGAAUGUGAAAUCUCGGGGCUCAACUCCGAGCUUGCAUUCGAUACGGGCAGGCUAGAGUUCGGUAGGGGAGACUGGAAUUCCUGGUGUAGCGGUGAAAUGCGCAGAUAUCAGGAGGAACACCGGUGGCGAAGGCGGGUCUCUGGACCGAUACUGACGCUGAGGAGCGAAAGCGUGGGGAGCGAACAGGAUUAGAUACCCUGGUAGUCCACGCCGUAAACGGUGGGAACUAGGUGUUGGCGACAUUCCACGUCGUCGGUGCCGCAGCUAACGCAUUAAGUUCCCCGCCUGGGGAGUACGG
RNAcentral lists this ribosomal RNA (643 nucleotides) under uncultured bacterium. RNAcentral describes it as "bacterial SSU rRNA". It matches the Rfam family "Bacterial small subunit ribosomal RNA", at positions 232 to 885 of the family's 1533-position model. The record is from RNAcentral.